RNAcentral lists this ribosomal RNA (495 nucleotides) under uncultured bacterium. RNAcentral describes it as "partial 16S ribosomal RNA". It matches the Rfam family "Bacterial small subunit ribosomal RNA", at positions 28 to 507 of the family's 1533-position model. The record is from RNAcentral.
GACGAACGCUGGCGGCGUGCCUAAUACAUGCAAGUAGAACGCUGAAGGAGGAGCUUGCUUCUCCGGAUGAGUUGCGAACGGGUGAGUAACGCGUAGGUAACCUGCCUGGUAGCGGGGGAUAACUAUUGGAAACGAUAGCUAAUACCGCAUAAGAGUAGAUGUUGCAUGACAUUUGCUUAAAAGGUGCAAUUGCAUCACUACCAGAUGGACCUGCGUUGUAUUAGCUAGUUGGUGGGGUAACGGCUCACCAAGGCGACGAUACAUAGCCGACCUGAGAGGGUGAGCGGCCACACUGGGACUGAGACACGGCCCAGACUCCUACGGGAGGCAGCAGUAGGGAAUCUUCGGCAAUGGACGGAAGUCUGACCGAGCAACGCCGCGUGAGUGAAGAAGGUUUUCGGAUCGUAAAGCUCUGUUGUAAGAGAAGAACGAGUGUGAGAGUGGAAAGUUCACACUGUGACGGUAUCUUACCAGAAAGGGACGGCUAACUACGUG